RNAcentral lists this long non-coding RNA (2190 nucleotides) under Homo sapiens (human). RNAcentral describes it as "HSALNT0320839". Lineage: Eukaryota; Metazoa; Chordata; Mammalia; Primates; Hominidae. The record is from RNAcentral.
CCCACCCCCACCCCCCUCGUGCCCGCUCCGCUACGUAUUCCCGUAUUCCCGGGUGCCUGGCAACAGUGAUGUGCUUUAGGCCUUUUUUAGAAUGCAUACAAACGGAACCAUAUCUAAGUGAUGUCUGGCUUUUUUAACUUAGCACAAUGCUUUGAGAUUCAUACUAUUGUGUUUAAUUAGUAAUUCAUUUGUGUUAUUGUUGAAUGGUAGUCUAUCAUAUGGGUAAGCCACAGUUUAUUUAUCCAUUCACCAAUUGAUGGGCCUGUCGGUUGUAGGGAACAGGAGAAAACUUCCCCUUUGCCCUCUGAAGGGUCACCGAAAAUCAACUGACAAGGCUGGGCCUGGGCUCCUGCCUGUAACCCCAGCCCUUUUUUAGCCCAAGGCAGGAGGAUCUCUUCUUUGUGAAGUGUGUAUUCAAAUCUUUUGACCAUUUAUUUAUUAGCUAGCUUGACUUUUUAUCUAAGAGUUCUUUAUAUAUUAUUGAGUUCUUUAUAUGUUUCAUACCAUGUUCUUUAUUAGCUAUACGUUUUGAAAUGUUUUCUACCUGUCUGUGGCUUGCCUCUUCAUUUUAAGUGUCUUUUGAAGCACUGAAGUUUUCAAUUUUGAUGUAAUUUAUCCAUUUUUUUCUUUUACAUAGUUCAUACCUUUUUUGUCCUACUUAAGACAUUUUUGCUAAAUUCAAGAUUAUAAGAUUUCCUCAUUUGUUACCUUCUGGAAGUUUUAUAAUUGUUGGUCUUCAUUAUAUUUAAAAUGAAUUAUUCUUUAUAGUAUCGAUAGAUGCUGGAGGCAGAUAAGGGAGGGUCCCUGGAGAAUCUCUGACCUGCCUCACAAGCUUUUGUGCAGCUGAGGAAGCCUGCCCAGGGUCUUGUCUGGGCAUGCCCACAAGGGACUUGGGGGCCCACUGCACCAGGAGAGUGGGGUGCAGCCAGAGGGAAUUCAGCCUUAUGCAGCAGGGAUGAGCAAGAAGUCUUCAGCUUGUGUGUGUUGGCCUGUUAUUCAGUCUGUGAGCUGGGAGCCUGUUGGCAGGACCCUCCUUGUUUUUUUGCUAAGAGCUUUUAAUAAAUGCCACUCUUCACCUUGCAAUGUAUUCACAUGCCUAAUUGUUCCUGGUCAUGAGACAAGAACCUGGAUUUUAGCUGAGCUAAGGAGCAAAAAUUCCUGCAUCAGUAUGAGGUGUAAGGAAGAACAGAAGGAUCCAAGUGUGAGAAAGCCCACCCUGAGUCUCUCAGAGAUUCAUUUCACUACCAGGUCAAAGACACAAUCAAAAGCCCGACAAAUGGAAUUUGUGGAAUUGGAACAAAAAGCUUUUCUUCCUAGGCACAAGAACAUCAAAGCAUAAAUCCUUCAGGUAUCAGCAAUGACAUCACUUAAGAAUUUCUCAGAAUCUUUGGCACCACCCCAGGCCUACCGGAUCAGAAUCUGAAUUUUUUAACAAGAUCUCAGAUCUAGUCAAGAGUCCAGUCUGAUUUCUCUUUAUUGGGACUACCACCCAAAGCAGAAUGAGGAUGAUGUAACCACGCCCAGUGACUUCUGGAUACCACUGACUCUAGAUGAGCAAGGAGAGACUCAGAGGAAGUCAGCGUUACUCGAUUAGAAAGUGACUGUGGCACUACCAUAGUAGUAAAAUCUACCAUGGCAGAGAAAAUGCCAUAUGUUCACCUUGCCAGUCGUUUUUCUUUUUCCUCCUGGGUUUAUAGGAAGAUGGCAGCCCCUGGCUCCCCUGCAAUCAGGCAGGGCCAUGUGACUGAGUCUUAGCUCACCAAUGUGGGAGAAAGUGAUGUGUGACACAUUAAGGCCAGGCCACUGAAACCUCUCAUGGGAACUUCCAUACUCACUUCCCUCAUCUGCUAGCCAACCCAAAAGAUUGAGUGGAGGAUUUUACAGCCCCAGGGCCUAGAGAUGCUGGAAAGAAGCCUGAUUCAGCCCUGAAUGAACCUGUGCAAAGGUGCCUCUGACCUCCAACCCUUGUUGGACUAGGAUGUUGGAAAAUACUGUGUUAAGCUACUGGGAUUUCAAAGUUGUUUGUCAUAGCAGCUAGCCAUAUUUACUCUACCUGAUAGAUCUAUGUUCUGUAAUUACAGUGUUUGCCUUUCAUGUCCUAAGGGUAAAUAAGUGAUAUAUGCAACAAUAAACUGUGAUGUACUAUAUAUUGUUUUUAUUACAUUAAAAUUCUUAAAAUUUGCUUUUUCA